GAUGAACGCUAGCGGCAGGCCUAAUACAUGCAAGACGAACGGUAAGUUGAGUAGCAAUACUUAGCCAAGAGUGUCGUACGGGUGCGUAACACGUAUGCAACCUACCCUAUACAGGAGGAUAGCCUAGGGAAACCUGGAUUAACCCUUCAUAGUAUUAUUGGAUGGCAUCAUUUGAUAAUUAAAACUGAGGUGGUAUAGGAUGGGCAUGCGUCUGAUUAGUUAGUUGGCAGGGUAAUGGCCCACCAAGACGAUGAUCAGUAGGGGUUCUGAGAGGAAGAUCCCCCCACACUGGCACUGAGAUACGGGCCAGACUCCUACGGGAGGCAGCAGUAGGGAAUAUUGGUCAAUGGAUGCAAGUCUGAACCAGCCAUGCCGCGUGCAGGAAGAAGGGCCUUCUGGGGUUGUAAACUGCUUUUGCCAGGGGGAUAAAUUCCAUGCUGGAAACUGAAGGUACCUGGUGAAUAAGCCACGGCUAACUACGUGCCAGCAGCCGCGGUAA
This 499-nucleotide ribosomal RNA is filed under the name uncultured bacterium. RNAcentral describes it as "bacterial SSU rRNA". It matches the Rfam family "Bacterial small subunit ribosomal RNA", at positions 28 to 523 of the family's 1533-position model. The record is from RNAcentral.